UGGGGAAUAUUGCACAAUGGGCGCAAGCCUGAUGCAGCCAUGCCGCGUGUAUGAAGAAGGCCUUCGGGUUGUAAAGUACUUUCAGCGGGGAGGAAGGGAGUAAGGUUAAUAACUUUGCCCAUUGACGUUACCGGCAGAAGAAGCACCGGCUAACUCCGUGCCAGCAGCCGCGGUAAUACGGAGGGUGCAAGCGUUAAUCGGAAUUACUGGGCGUAAAGCGCACGCAGGCGGUUGAUUGAGUCAGAUGUGAAAUCCCCGGGCUUAACCCGGGAAUUGCAUCUGAUACUGGACAGGUGGAGUCUCGUAGAGGGGGGUAGAAUUCCAUGUGUAGCGGUGAAAUGCGUAGAGAUUUGGAGGAAUACCGGUGGCGAAGGCGGCCCCCUGGACGAAGACUGACGCUCAGGUGCGAAAGCGUGGGGAGCAAACAGG
This 429-nucleotide ribosomal RNA is filed under the name Chloroflexota bacterium. RNAcentral describes it as "Chloroflexi bacterium partial 16S ribosomal RNA". It matches the Rfam family "Bacterial small subunit ribosomal RNA", at positions 355 to 776 of the family's 1533-position model. The record is from RNAcentral. Lineage: Bacteria; Bacillati; Chloroflexota.